AGAGUUUGAUCAUGGCUCAGGAUGAACGCUAGCGGCAGGCUUAAUACAUGCAAGUCGAGGGGCAUCAAGGUACACGAAAGUGUAUUGUUGGCGACCGGCGGACGGGUGAGUAAUAGGUAGGUAACCUACCUCAUACUGAGGCAUAGCUGGGAGAAAUUCCAGGUAAUUCCUCAUGAGGUUAUAUGACACAUGUGAUAUAAUCAAAGGUAUCGCAAGGUACUGGUAUGAGAUGGGCUUACUGACCAUUAGCUAGUUGGUGAGAUAAGAGCUCACCAAGGCGAAGAUGGUUAGGGGUUUUGUGAGAGAGAUCCCCCACAUUGGAACUGAGAUACGGUCCAGACUCCUACGGGAGGCAGCAGUAGGGAAUAUUGGGCAAUGGGCGGAAGCCUGACCCAGCCAUGCCGCGUGAAGGAAGACGGCCUUAUGGGUUGUAAACUUCUUUACUAUGCGACUAACUAGAUUUACGAGAUAAUUCUAUAGAAUGUAGCAUAGCAAAAAGCACCGGCUAACUCCGUGCCAGCAGCCGCGGUAAUACGGAGGGUGCGAGCGUUAUUCGGAAUUACUGGGUUUAAAGGGUGCGUAGGCGGCUAAGUAAGUUGUCAUUGAAAGGCUACAGCUCAACUGUAGUAGUGGUGGCGAUACUGCUUAGCUAAGAACAUGGGAGGGGUACUUGGAAUGUGUGGUGUAGCGGUGAAAUGCGUAGAUAUCACACAGAACACCAGAGGCGAAGGCGGAGUACUAGACCAUAGUUGACGCUGAGGCACGAAAGCGUGGGGAUCAAACAGGAUUAGAUACCCUGGUAGUCCACGCCCUAAACGAUGAUCACUAGAUAUUGGCGACAAACAGUCAGUGUCCAAGCGAAAGUGAUAAGUGAUCCACCUGGGGACUACGGCCGCAAGGUUAAAACUCAAAUGAAUUGACGG
This 923-nucleotide ribosomal RNA is filed under the name uncultured bacterium. Its description in RNAcentral is "bacterial SSU rRNA". It matches the Rfam family "Bacterial small subunit ribosomal RNA", at positions 8 to 916 of the family's 1533-position model. The record is from RNAcentral.